GACGGGGGAUGCAAGUGUUAUCCGGAAUCACUGGGCGUAAAGCGUCUGCAGGUGGUUUCCUAAGUCCACUGUUAAACCUUGAGGCUCAACCUCAAAUCUGCAUUGGAAACUAGGAGACUUGAGUAUAGUAGGGGUAGAGGGAAUUUCCAGUGGAGCGGUGAAAUGCGUAGAUAUCUGGAGGAACACCGGUGGCGAAGGCGACAUCCUGGACCGGUAUUGACGCUGAGGCGCGAAAGCCAGGGGAGCAAACGGG
Molecule: ribosomal RNA, 253 nt
Filed under: uncultured bacterium
Lineage: Bacteria
Description: partial 16S ribosomal RNA
Rfam family: Bacterial small subunit ribosomal RNA
Source: RNAcentral